This 480-nucleotide ribosomal RNA is filed under the name uncultured Syntrophus sp. RNAcentral's name for it is "bacterial SSU rRNA". It matches the Rfam family "Bacterial small subunit ribosomal RNA", at positions 902 to 1382 of the family's 1533-position model. The record is from RNAcentral. Lineage: Bacteria; Pseudomonadati; Thermodesulfobacteriota; Syntrophia; Syntrophales; Syntrophaceae.
CAAAGGAAUUGACGGGGCCCGCACAAGCGGUGGAGCAUGUGGUUUAAUUCGAUGCAACGCGAAGAACCUUACCUGGGCUUGACAUCCCGGGAAUCCCUUGGAAACAAGGGAGUGCCCUUCGGAGAACCUGGAGACAGGUGCUGCAUGGCUGUCGUCAGCUCGUGUCGUGAGAUGUAGGGUUAAGUCCCGCAACGAGCGCAACCCUUGUCUUUAAUUGCCAUCAUUGAGUUGGGCACUUUAAAGAGACUGCCGGUGUUAAACCGGAGGAAGGUGGGAUGACGUCAAGUCCUCAUGGCCUUUAUGCCCAGGGCUACACACGUGCUACAAUGGGUGGUACAAUGGGUUGCCAAGCCGCGAGGCGGAGCCAAUCCUAAAAAGCUGGCCUCAGUUCAGAUUGCAGUCUGCAACUCGACUGCAUGAAGUUGGAGUUGCUAGUAACCGCAGGUCAGCAAUACUGCGGUGAAUACGUUCCCGGGGAUU